RNAcentral lists this ribosomal RNA (301 nucleotides) under uncultured bacterium. Its description in RNAcentral is "partial 16S ribosomal RNA". It matches the Rfam family "Bacterial small subunit ribosomal RNA", at positions 509 to 807 of the family's 1533-position model. The record is from RNAcentral.
CAGUCGCCGCGGGAAUACGGAGGGUGCAAGCGUUAAUCGGAAUUACUGGGCGUAAAGCGCACGCAGGCGGUCUGUCAAAUCAGAUGUGAAAUCCCCGGGCUUAACCUGGGAACUGCAUUUGAAACUGGCAGGCUAGAGUCUUGUAGAGGGGGGUAGAAUUCCAGGUGUAGCGGUGAAAUGCGUAGAGAUCUGGAGGAAUACCGGUGGCGAAGGCGGCCCCCUGGACAAAGACUGACGCUCAGGUGCGAAAGCGUGGGGAGCAAACAGGAUUAGAUACCCCUGUAGUCCCUGUCUCUUAUAC